UGCUUGGCUGAUGCCUACAAUGCAGUCGAGCGGUACACAGAGGAGCUUGCUCCUUGGGUGACGAGCGGCGGACGGGUGAGUAAUGCCUGGGGAUCUGCCCGAUAGAGGGGGAUAACUACGGGAAACUGUAGCUAAUACCGCAUAAUGUCUACGGACCAAAGUGGGGGCUCUUCGGACCUCAUGCUAUCGGAUGAACCCAGGUGGGAUUAGCUAGUUGGUGAGGUAAUGGCUCACCAAGGCGACGAUCUCUAACUGGUUUGAGAGAAUGACCAGUCACACUGGAACUGAGACACGGUCCAGACUCCUACGGGAGGCAGCAGUGGGGAAUAUUGCACAAUGGGCGCAAGCCUGAUGCAGCCAUGCCGCGUGUGUGAAGAAGGCCUUCGGGUUGUAAAGCACUUUCAGCGGGGAGGAAGGGUCACUAGUUAAUACCUAGUGGCAUUGACGUUACUCGCAGAAGAAGCACCGGCUAACUCCGUGCCAGCAGCCGCGGUAAUACGGAGGGUGCAAGCGUUAAUCGGAAUUACUGGGCGUAAAGCGCACGCAGCGGUUUGUUAAGUCAGAUGUGAAAUCCCCGAGCUCAACUUGGGAACUGCAUUUGAACUGGCAAGCUAGAGUCUUGUAGAGGGGGUAGAAUUCCAGUGUAGCGGUGAAAUGCGUAGAGAUCUGGAGGAUACCGUGCGAAGCGCCCCUGGACAAGACUGACGCUCAGUGCGAAAGCGUGGGGAGCAACAGGAUUAGAUACCCUGUAGUCCACGCUGUAACGAUGUCGAUUUGAGUUGUGCCUGAGGCUGCUCCGGACUACGCGUAAUCGACCGCCUGGGAGUACGCGCAGUAACACAGUAUAUUGACGGA
This 855-nucleotide ribosomal RNA is filed under the name Plesiomonas shigelloides. RNAcentral's name for it is "bacterial SSU rRNA". It matches the Rfam family "Bacterial small subunit ribosomal RNA", at positions 40 to 917 of the family's 1533-position model. The record is from RNAcentral. Lineage: Bacteria; Pseudomonadati; Pseudomonadota; Gammaproteobacteria; Enterobacterales; Enterobacteriaceae.